Molecule: ribosomal RNA, 253 nt
Filed under: uncultured bacterium
Lineage: Bacteria
Description: partial 16S ribosomal RNA
Rfam family: Bacterial small subunit ribosomal RNA
Source: RNAcentral
UACGGAGGGGGCGAGCGUUAUUCGGAAUUAUUGGGCGUAAAGGGCGCGUAGGCGGCUUGACAAGUCAAAGGUGAAAUCCCUCGGCUCAACUGAGGAACUGCCUUUGAAACUGUCUGGCUUGAGGCCGGGAGGGGGUAGCGGAAUUCCCAGUGUAGCGGUGAAAUGCGUAGAUAUUGGGAGGAACACCCGUGGCGAAGGCGGCCCCCUGGGCCGAACCUGACGCUGAGGCGCGAAGGCUAGGGGAGCGAACGGG